Molecule: long non-coding RNA, 610 nt
Filed under: Citrus sinensis (sweet orange)
Lineage: Eukaryota; Viridiplantae; Streptophyta; Magnoliopsida; Sapindales; Rutaceae
Description: long non-coding RNA (CSIN_LNC002453)
Source: RNAcentral
AUGAAAAAUAGGUGGUUGUACUACCAGGUGGCAAAGUUCUAAGGAGGGCAAGCCCUCAAAGCUAAGUUGAAAGAAAUCUUUUGGGGACGGCAAUACGUAACGCCCAAAAGAUCAACUAAUGAGGCCCAAUGGCAUAUUGUUUAAAGGGUAAAAGUACCGGCCUUGUAGUGCAACAUACUUAGGGCCCAAAUAAAGUUGUUUUGUAUUUUUUAAGUUUAUUUGAAGAGCUUAAUAUGGUCAUCCAUAUGCAUCAUAAUUUAUACAUGCAUUAAAGUGUUAUCUUACUGGGCAUUAGCUCACUAAGUCCUUACAUUGCAGGUAACGAUGAGUAGGGCAAACUGGCGCCAAGUCCUAACUAAGACGAAAUGCAUAUGGGCAUAACCGACCUUGGGAUUUUAUGAUGGGCUCAACUUUGUAUUAAUAAAAAUAAGUAUCUUGGCUUUAUGUAAUAAUUAAGUUUUUAAAUAAACUAAGAAAUCUCUAUAUGACUCUUACUUUUCUGUAAUAAAGUUUUGUUGGAUUGUGCUAAACUUUUAGAAUUCGUAUUUAUAUUAAAAGUAACUGUGUUUUUAAGCAUUUUUUUAAGUAAAUAAUAUAGUGGAGUGUUACA